AGAGAUACGGAUACUGCUGCAUCAUUUGCUCCUCUGAUUCCCAAGUAGCUUCUUCUACUUGAUGACUUCUCCACAGCACCUUGACAAGCGGAAUUGUCUUGUUCCUAAGCACUUGCUCCUUUCGGUCGAGAAUCUGAACCGGUUCCUCUUCAUAGGUCAACUCUCUCGUCAAACUGAUCGGCUGCUCUUGCAGCACAUGAGAAGGAUCGGCAAUAUACUUGCGAAGCAUGGAUACAUGAAACACCUUAUGUAUCCUAGCUAACUCUGGAGGCAAGGCCAAUCGAUAAGCAAGUGAGCCAACUCGCUCUAUAAUCUCAUAAGGGCCAAUAUACCUCGGGCUAAGCUUCCCACGCUUACCGAAACGCACAAUCCCUUUCCAAGGAGAUAAUUUCAGGAACACCCAAUCACCCACUUGAAAUUCAAGAUCUCUCCUACGGACAUCCGCAUAACUUUUCUGCCUACUCUGAGCAGUCUUGAGUCUAUCUCUAACCACUUUAAUCUUCUCAUUCGUAACAUGGAUUAACUCUGGGCCACAAAGCUCUUUUUCCCCUACUUCAUUCCAACACAAAGGUGUGCGACACUGCCUCCCAUAAAGAGCCUCAAAGGGAGCCAUACCAAUGCUAGAAUGAUAGCUAUUAUUAUAAACAAAUUUCAUCAACGAUAGGUUUUUAUCCCAACUCCCUCUGAACUGCAAGGCACAAGCCCUCAACAUAUCCUCCAAAGUCUGAAUAGUCCUCUCGGACUGCCCAUCAGUCUGAGGAUGAAAAGCAGUGCUGAAGAGUAAUUGGGUACCUAAAGCUGCCUGAAGAGCUCCCCAGAAUUUAGAAGCAAAUCGAGGAUCCUGAUCUGACACUAUUGAUUCAGGAACACCAUGAAGCCUCACAAUUUCAUUCACAUAAAGCUCCGCCAAUUUAUCCAAUUUAUACUUCUUUCCCACUGGCAAGAAAUUUGCAGACUUGGUGAGUCUAUCCACAAUCACCCAAAACUAGCCUCACAUGAAAACUAGCCUCACAUGAAAACUAGCUAUCAAAGCACCAACCUCAUCUACUGAUAAAUCCACUCCUGUAGCUCGCAACUCACAAAGAAGCGGAACACGAACCAUCUUUAUAUGAGAUAAAGAUAUGGAGGGAUUUCGAUGAAGAGCAUCAGCUACCACAUUAGCUUUUCCAGGAUGAUACUCAAUAGUGCAAUCGUAAUCAUUGAUUAACUCCAUCCACCUUCUCUGUCUCAUAUUUAGCUCCCUUUGAGUGAACACAUACCGAAGACUCUUGUGAUCGGUAAAAAUCUGACACUUGGCUCCAUAAAGAUAGUGUCUCCACAACUUGAGAGCAAAAACUACCGCUGCAAGCUCCAGAUCAUGAGUAGGAUAAUUCCCCUCAUGCGGCUUCAAUUUCCUAGAAGCGUAGGCAAUAACUCGAUCAUGCUGCAUCAAAACUCCACCUAGACCACGUCUAGAAGCAUCACAAUAGACCACAUACUCUCCACUAUCAUCCGGAAGUGCCAAAACAGGAGCACUUGUUAAGCAAUUCUUCAAUUCUUGGAAAUUUGCUCACAUUGAUCUGACCAUUCAAACUUAACCCCCUUCCUGGUCAAUCUUGUAAGAGGAGCAGCAAUCUUUGAAAAAUCUUUCACAAAGCGCCGAUAAUAACCUGCUAAUCCCAAGAAACUACGAAUCUCCGUCACAGUGGUGGGUCUUUUCCAAUUCGACACUGCUUCCACCUUUUGGGGAUCCACACUAACUUCUUCUGCCGAAAUCACAUGACCCAAAAACCCUACUUUAUCUAGCCAAAACUCACACUUGCUAAACUUAGCAAAUAACUGCUAAUUUUCCAAAGUCCGCAAUAUUAUUCUUAGAUGCUUGGCAUGCUCCUUCUCACUUCUUGAGUAAACCAAUAUGUCAUCUAUGAAUACGAUCACGAAACGAUCAAGGUAUGGACUAAACACCCUAUUCAUGAGAUCCAUGAACGCCGCGGGUGCAUUAGUAAGUCCAAAUGGCAUCACCACAAACUCAUAAUAACCAUAUCGUGACCGAAAAGCAGUCUUGGCUAUGUCCCCCUCUCGGAUCCGCAACUGAUGAUAACCCGAUCUCAAAUCAAUCUUAGAGAAAACAGAGGCACCCCUCAACUGAUCAAAUAAAUCAUCGAUCCGAGGCAACGAAUAUUUAUUCUUCACUGUGACCUGAUUCAACUUCCUAUAAUCAAUGCAUAGUCUCAUGGUGCCAUCUUUCUUCUUAACAAACAACACUGGAGCACCCCAUGGAGACAUGUUAGGCCGAAUAAAACCCUUAUCUACCAACUCCUACAAUUGAGUCUUCAACUCUUUCAAUUCCGCUGGAGCCAUUCUGUAAGGUGCCUGAGAGAUAGGCAUAGUUCCAGAAAGUAAUUCGAUAGAGAAGUCUAUCUCCCUUGUAGGAGGCAAACCAGGCAACUCCUCAGGAAAAACAUCCGGAAACUCCCUUACUAUAGGAAUAUCUUCUAAUCCCACAACUCCCAUACUUGUAUCCACCACAUGAGCUAAAUAUGCCUGACAGCCUUUACUCAACAAUUUCCUUGCAGCAACAGCGGAAAUUAUGCAACUAGAAAUAACAUAUCUUUCCCCUUGGAAAGCAACCUCAAAACCAUCUGGACUUCGAAGCACCACUACUUUUUGAAAACAAUCUACCAUAACUCUAUAUGCUUCCAAAAAGUCUAUUCCCAAGAUCACAUCAAACUCCACUAUAUCUAAAGCUAUUAAAUCAGCCUCGAAAUUAACUCCUUCCACUAAAACUUCAUAACCACUAAAUACCCAAUUUAUUCUCAUCACCUCACCGGAGGGUAGAGACACAUGUCACUCGCCUGGAAGAGACGAUGAUGGCACAUUGGCAUGGAGGGCAAAUCUACUAGACAUGAAUGAAUGCGUGGCUCCGGGAUCAAUUAAAGUAAAAGCAGGCUGACCAAAAAUUAAUAACGUACCAAUGAUGACAUCUGGAGAAGUACGACCCUCCUGCUGGGUCAUAGCAUGCAGUCUAGCGCGAGUCAUGGGACGUCCACGCUGACCACUUCCCCGCUGAGAGCCACCUCUGACCGAAGCACUGCCCUGGGCACCACUAGUAGAGCCUCUAGCUGAAGACUGACCAACUGGCUGAGUAGGGGUGGGGGUCGUCCUCUGAGCCAAUAAUGAACAAUCUCUCCUGAAGUGGUCCUGACUACCACACUCAAAGCACCCAGAAAACUGCUGCUGCCCAUAAGAAAAAGUCUGGCUUCCGGAUGACCCACCAUGGAAGCUACCACCAGAAUCAUACUGCCCAGACUGCUGCCUACCCAACUGACUCCUAGCAGGUCUCUUGUGACGUCCUCUAACCCUGAACCAAGAAUUAGAACCCGAUCCCCCACUACUGCCACUACCAGCUGAAGAACCAGAAGCGGAUGAUGAUGCAGCUUUCUUGGAUGGACCCUGACUGGGGCCACCGAAAUCUCGUGGCCGAACACUAUAAAUCCCCAUAGACCCAAUGGCCAUGGCUGCAUGAACAGUAUCAAGAAAAGUCGGGUAAUAAACACCCGUCAUCUUACCUACAAACACUCCACCAAGUGCCCCAAUGAACAUCUCCAUCCUGGUCCUCUCAUCAGGAACCAGAUAUAACACAUGGUAGCUCAGGGAAGUGAAUCUCUCCUGGAACUCUAUAACACCCUCAUCAUCCCUCUUCUUCAUAUUCAGGAAAUCUGACUGUAUUCUGCUGCGGUGGGCAGGACUGAAAUACUGCCCCAAGAAAAGCGUCUUAAACUGCUCCCACGACAUAUUCAGAGCAUCCUCAACAUUCUUGCUAGCGAGCGACCACCAGUGAUAUGCUGAAUCAUCCAGGAAAGUCACUGCCAUCUUCACCUUCCUUUCUUCUAGCAAAUCUGUGCUCGCAAAAGCCUUUUCCAUUUUGUCUGCCCAAGUAUAAGCAUCAAGGGGUCCCUUGGCACCCUUGAACUCUCUUGCUCCAGCCUCAUAAACUUCUCUCCUCUUCACUGUAUGAGGGUGUGGAGCUAGAUCUAUAACAUCCCUCAGCAUAUUUCCAAUAUCAUCAAUCAGUCCCCUGACCUCAUUGUCCUCAUCGGCAUUAGUCGAAGUAGCCACACGGGGUUGCCGUGGGCGCCUAGGAGGCAUAGUACCUGAGGAAGAAGAAAUUUAGUAGUCCAUAAACAAGACUAACACAACUAUCACACAUACCCAAUAACACAUAGCAUCAAAAGCAUAAACUAUCAAUGAAUCCGCCGCGGUCGGAUCAUCACUCUAUAGACACUACGUGCUACUUAGGCAAAUAUGAUAAUGACAAGGAAGCAGGAAAAGGAAACCUAAAGCUCUGAUACCAACUGACACGACCCGCCCCAAAUUUCACCUUGAAACCCGGAGUAAGUCGUGCGGGGACCAUCUCCAAGGAAAAUUUUACCGAAAAGAUUGGUAAAACCUCCCUUGAAAAUGGACAACCCUAACUCAAAAAUUUCAAAUUUACACUCUUACUACAACACGUUCAAACUUCACAUAAAUAUCCAGCUAAUAAAAGGAAACAUUAUCCUUCAGAAAUUCUAAACAUCAAAUCAACAGGUCGAGCACACCACCGAAAUAAUAUACAACAAUCCCAAAGUAUCCAGAGCUACUAGACUCUAGCGGAAGCAAGAAAACACGAGUAGGUUGAACAGGUAACCUACUGAGGAAAACUGGCGGAAAAAUGGGUGACUAUGCUUCGUCUCCUACUAGAUCCAACCCGAACUCUGCAGACUGGGCAUUUUAAAACAAAGGGCUCAGGGGAAAAACAUUUAAUAACGUUAGAGUGAGUGGACAAAAAUAAAUUAAUAAGAAAAAUAUUUAUGUUUCCCCAAAUCCAUUUCUAAGGAAAAAAUCGAAUGCAUGCCGCAAGCGAUAAAAUAUCGAGCCUCUCACACUCUAUAAUAUAUGUAUGUAUUUAUACACGUCCAUACUCCCUAUAUAAAUUCAUGGGUGUAUAUAGGGCUACUACGCUCGAGUCCAACGCUCACGUCACGCCUUAAUGCGGUGCUACACUACGCCAUUAAGGUGGACAGAUGGGUGUAUAAAUAUGUGUCCAUACCCCCUAUGUAAAUUAAACACUCAUAUAGGGCUACUACGCUCACGUCCAACGCUCACGUCACACCAAAAUGCGGCUAUAUGCUACGCCAUUAAAGUGGACAGACACAUAUGGCUAGCUAGCAUUUAUAUACAUACUCUCCUCAUAAAUACAUAUUUAUAUCCAUCGAAAAUCUCAUUUUCGGUAACUCUCCAAGAGAAAUAAAAAUCGUCAAAUUAAAAUGACAUCAAAAUAUUCCGCAACAUUUAUUGUUCAACCAUGAACUAUAGCAUGCAUUUAUUUAAAAUAAACGUCCACUCACAAAUUUGGCCUAAGCCUGAUGUCGAUCUGGGGUCUCAUCUGCUCGAGCCUCCUCACGUCCUGUUCCAAAUAUAAUAUUAAUUUCCCACUAAAAAUCCAAUAAUUAAAUAAAAUUGGCAAAAUUAAACGUGAGCCUCUCACACACCCAUCAUUGCCCAUCUACGCCAUUCUUAACUCAAAAUGGCUCAACCUUCACCGAACAUACCGCAGCCGUAAAUACAACCUCCCCCAAAAUACGACUUAAAUCCUACGGCCGGAUUCUAUAUUAUUUAACCACCAAAAAUACCACACUUCGGAAAUUCAUAAACCUAUCCAAAACUCAUCCAAAAAUUCCAUAACUCACUUCAAUAAACUCCCCUUAAUAUUCCAAAUUUAACAACAUUAAAAAUCUCCCAAACAGCUCCGGCGACCUCCAAAUUCUAUGAAAAUUUGACAGCAUAAUCCUCUUAUCAUGCUCUACAACUUCCCUAACUACCACAAACCCAAAAUCCAAGCCUAGCUAGGGUAAUCGACUAAAAACAUCCUAAAAGCCCUAGAAAUUUCAACUCCACAUUUCUCCUUACCUAGCUCAAGAGAGAGUGAGCUCUUUGGAGGGGUUGCUGCACGGGAGGAGGGCUACAAAAUGAGCUAAGGAUCGUCAGCUGUGGUGGCCGGAGGAGGGAGUUCCGGCGACGUGAAGCUUUGGACAGUCGAACCUUUCGGGGGAGAGUGCUCCUUCACGGCGGAGCUAGGGCGGUUGUCACCGAUCCAGGGAGGUAGCUGGGUCGGAGGCCGUCAGUUUGGGACCGGAGCGGCGGCAGAUGGUGGCCGGACGGCGGCAGGAGGACGGCCGGAAAACCGGGCAGCGGGAGGAAGAAUUCGGGGGAAAGAAAAUCGGGAGAAGAGAGAGAAGUGAGUGUGUGGGUAUUGGGCCCCUCCCACACCCGGUCCAAACCCAUAUAAAUCAACCCACUCCAAAAUAAAACACCCCGAAAAAAUAAUACCCUAAUAAAAUUACCUUUUACUAGCUAAAAUUUACCAUUUUUACCGUCGUCGUAUUUUCCUCCUACGAAUAAUCCUCCGCCCAUAAUCGUCCCCGAAACCCCUCUAGGAACCAAUUAAACUAUUAUCUCAAUGACGGAGACGGUAAAAUUCUUAUUAUAAUCAAGCUAGUAAAUAAGGUAAAAAUUUAAGGGUCGGGAUGUGACAGUUACGCCUUGAAGUGGCUGAUGGAAAAAAGAGUAGCAAAGACAUGGAGAAAAACUUAUUCAACUUUGGACCUUAGACUUAAGAACAAACCUAGCUAAUCACUGCCUUCCAUUUCCACAAAACAGGAAGAUAGACGGAUCAAACUCACCAAGUAGGGCUAUAUACUAACACGGAUCAAAACUCAUUUGGUGUACUAAUCUUAAAUAACUCAUUAAGUUCCUUGUCCUUGGCCUUCUCUUCCUCCUUCUUUUUCUGUCAAUUAUUCCAAUGUCAUAAACAAGACUUCUUUCAGUAGCUUAGUUAGGAACUGAAACCCAAAAGUAAGCAUGCUGGCCAAAAUCUAACCAUUAGGUCUUUUCGGUCCAGCAAAGAUGCACAUUAUAACACAAGAGUCAGCCAAUAACCAAAUUUUAUUCUUUUAAUUGAGUGUGUACUGAUUACUAAAUCUUAAACCCUCUAAUGUUGUCCUCUCUGAUUUCUGCCAGAAAUCCUAUAUGGCUAAUCUUCCAUCUUUUCUAUCUAUUCAGUUUCCUAAUACUCCUACUAUCUAAACUCUAAAGUCAAACAUCUCAUCACCACAAUCAACCUUUUUCCUACUUCAAUACAAAGGCCCUUUCAUCUCAUUCGUCUACGGCUACUGUAAUGUACCUUGAAGUCCAUAUUGACAGAUUCUUCCGCCCAUC
RNAcentral lists this long non-coding RNA (7236 nucleotides) under Fragaria vesca (wild strawberry). Its description in RNAcentral is "long non-coding RNA (FVES_LNC001649)". Lineage: Eukaryota; Viridiplantae; Streptophyta; Magnoliopsida; Rosales; Rosaceae. The record is from RNAcentral.